ACUCUGAUGCAGCAACGCCGCGUGGAGGAUGACGCGAUCUUCGGUGUGUAAACUCCUUUUAAGAGGGAAGAUAAUGACGGUACCUCUUGAAUAAGCACCGGCUAACUCCGUGCCAGCAGCCGCGGUAAU
Molecule: ribosomal RNA, 129 nt
Filed under: uncultured bacterium
Lineage: Bacteria
Description: partial 16S ribosomal RNA
Rfam family: Bacterial small subunit ribosomal RNA
Source: RNAcentral